This 2929-nucleotide ribosomal RNA is filed under the name Bacillus thuringiensis. Its description in RNAcentral is "23S ribosomal RNA". It matches the Rfam family "Bacterial large subunit ribosomal RNA". Lineage: Bacteria; Bacillati; Bacillota; Bacilli; Caryophanales; Bacillaceae. The record is from RNAcentral.
UUUGGUUAAGUUAGAAAGGGCGCACGGUGGAUGCCUUGACACUAGGAGUCGAUGAAGGACGGGACUAACGCCGAUAUGCUUCGGGGAGCUGUAAGUAAGCUUUGAUCCGAAGAUUUCCGAAUGGGGAAACCCACCAUACGUAAUGGUAUGGUAUCCUUAUCUGAAUACAUAGGGUAAGGAAGACAGACCCAGGGAACUGAAACAUCUAAGUACCUGGAGGAAGAGAAAGCAAAUGCGAUUUCCUGAGUAGCGGCGAGCGAAACGGAACAUAGCCCAAACCAAGAGGCUUGCCUCUUGGGGUUGUAGGACAUUCUAUACGGAGUUACAAAGGAACGAGGUAGACGAAGCGACCUGGAAAGGUCCGUCGUAGAGGGUAACAACCCCGUAGUCGAAACUUCGUUCUCUCUUGAAUGUAUCCUGAGUACGGCGGAACACGUGAAAUUCCGUCGGAAUCUGGGAGGACCAUCUCCCAAGGCUAAAUACUACCUAGUGAUCGAUAGUGAACCAGUACCGUGAGGGAAAGGUGAAAAGCACCCCGGAAGGGGAGUGAAAGAGAUCCUGAAACCGUGUGCCUACAAAUAGUCAGAGCCCGUUAACGGGUGAUGGCGUGCCUUUUGUAGAAUGAACCGGCGAGUUACGAUCCCGUGCGAGGUUAAGCUGAAGAGGCGGAGCCGCAGCGAAAGCGAGUCUGAAUAGGGCGUUUAGUACGUGGUCGUAGACCCGAAACCAGGUGAUCUACCCAUGUCCAGGGUGAAGUUCAGGUAACACUGAAUGGAGGCCCGAACCCACGCACGUUGAAAAGUGCGGGGAUGAGGUGUGGGUAGCGGAGAAAUUCCAAUCGAACCUGGAGAUAGCUGGUUCUCCCCGAAAUAGCUUUAGGGCUAGCCUUAAGUGUAAGAGUCUUGGAGGUAGAGCACUGAUUGGACUAGGGGUCCUCAUCGGAUUACCGAAUUCAGUCAAACUCCGAAUGCCAAUGACUUAUCCUUAGGAGUCAGACUGCGAGUGAUAAGAUCCGUAGUCAAAAGGGAAACAGCCCAGACCGCCAGCUAAGGUCCCAAAGUGUGUAUUAAGUGGAAAAGGAUGUGGAGUUGCUUAGACAACUAGGAUGUUGGCUUAGAAGCAGCCACCAUUUAAAGAGUGCGUAAUAGCUCACUAGUCGAGUGACUCUGCGCCGAAAAUGUACCGGGGCUAAAUACACCACCGAAGCUGCGGAUUGAUACCAAUGGUAUCAGUGGUAGGGGAGCGUUCUAAGGACAGUGAAGUCAGACCGGAAGGACUGGUGGAGUGCUUAGAAGUGAGAAUGCCGGUAUGAGUAGCGAAAGACGGGUGAGAAUCCCGUCCACCGAAUGCCUAAGGUUUCCUGAGGAAGGCUCGUCCGCUCAGGGUUAGUCAGGACCUAAGCCGAGGCCGACAGGCGUAGGCGAUGGACAACAGGUUGAUAUUCCUGUACCACCUCUUUAUCGUUUGAGCAAUGGAGGGACGCAGAAGGAUAGAAGAAGCGUGCGAUUGGUUGUGCACGUCCAAGCAGUUAGGCUGAUAAGUAGGCAAAUCCGCUUAUCGUGAAGGCUGAGCUGUGAUGGGGAAGCUCCUUAUGGAGCGAAGUCUUUGAUUCCCCGCUGCCAAGAAAAGCUUCUAGCGAGAUAAAAGGUGCCUGUACCGCAAACCGACACAGGUAGGCGAGGAGAGAAUCCUAAGGUGUGCGAGAGAACUCUGGUUAAGGAACUCGGCAAAAUGACCCCGUAACUUCGGGAGAAGGGGUGCUUUCUUAACGGAAAGCCGCAGUGAAUAGGCCCAAGCGACUGUUUAGCAAAAACACAGCUCUCUGCGAAGCCGUAAGGCGAAGUAUAGGGGGUGACACCUGCCCGGUGCUGGAAGGUUAAGGAGAGGGGUUAGCGUAAGCGAAGCUCUGAACUGAAGCCCCAGUAAACGGCGGCCGUAACUAUAACGGUCCUAAGGUAGCGAAAUUCCUUGUCGGGUAAGUUCCGACCCGCACGAAAGGUGUAACGAUUUGGGCACUGUCUCAACCAGAGACUCGGUGAAAUUAUAGUACCUGUGAAGAUGCAGGUUACCCGCGACAGGACGGAAAGACCCCGUGGAGCUUUACUGUAGCCUGAUAUUGAAUUUUGGUACAGUUUGUACAGGAUAGGCGGGAGCCUUUGAAACCGGAGCGCUAGCUUCGGUGGAGGCGCUGGUGGGAUACCGCCCUGACUGUAUUGAAAUUCUAACCUACGGGUCUUAUCGACCCGGGAGACAGUGUCAGGUGGGCAGUUUGACUGGGGCGGUCGCCUCCUAAAGUGUAACGGAGGCGCCCAAAGGUUCCCUCAGAAUGGUUGGAAAUCAUUCGUAGAGUGCAAAGGCAUAAGGGAGCUUGACUGCGAGACCUACAAGUCGAGCAGGGACGAAAGUCGGGCUUAGUGAUCCGGUGGUUCCGCAUGGAAGGGCCAUCGCUCAACGGAUAAAAGCUACCCCGGGGAUAACAGGCUUAUCUCCCCCAAGAGUCCACAUCGACGGGGAGGUUUGGCACCUCGAUGUCGGCUCAUCGCAUCCUGGGGCUGUAGUCGGUCCCAAGGGUUGGGCUGUUCGCCCAUUAAAGCGGUACGCGAGCUGGGUUCAGAACGUCGUGAGACAGUUCGGUCCCUAUCCGUCGUGGGCGUAGGAAAUUUGAGAGGAGCUGUCCUUAGUACGAGAGGACCGGGAUGGACGCACCGCUGGUGUACCAGUUGUUCUGCCAAGGGCAUAGCUGGGUAGCUAUGUGCGGAAGGGAUAAGUGCUGAAAGCAUCUAAGCAUGAAGCCCCCCUCAAGAUGAGAUUUCCCAUAGCGUAAGCUAGUAAGAUCCCUGAAAGAUGAUCAGGUUGAUAGGUUCGAGGUGGAAGCAUGGUGACAUGUGGAGCUGACGAAUACUAAUAGAUCGAGGACUUAACCAUAUAA